RNAcentral lists this ribosomal RNA (497 nucleotides) under uncultured bacterium. RNAcentral's name for it is "partial 16S ribosomal RNA". It matches the Rfam family "Bacterial small subunit ribosomal RNA", at positions 28 to 507 of the family's 1533-position model. The record is from RNAcentral.
GAUGAACGCUGGCGGCGUGCCUAAUACAUGCAAGUCGAGCGAACAGACGAGGAGCUUGCUCCUCUGACGUUAGCGGCGGACGGGUGAGUAACACGUGGAUAACCUACCUAUAAGACUGGGAUAACUUCGGGACACCGGAGCUAAUACCGGAUAAUAUCUUGAACCGCAUGGUUCAAUAGUGAAAGACGGUUUUGCUGUCACUUAUAGAUGGAUCCGCGCCGCAUUAGCUAGUUGGUAAGGUAACGGCUUACCAAGGCAACGAUGCGUAGCCGACCUGAGAGGGUGAUCGGCCACACUGGAACUGAGACACGGUCCAGACUCCUACGGGAGGCAGCAGUAGGGAAUCUUCCGCAAUGGGCGAAAGCCUGACGGAGCAACGCCGCGUGAGUGAUGAAGGUCUUCGGAUCGUAAAACUCUGUUAUUAGGGAAGAACAAAUGUGUAAGUAACUAUGCACGUCUUGACGGUACCUAAUCAGAAAGCCACGGCUAACUACGUG